Bombina bombina (fire-bellied toad) is the source of this 332-nucleotide long non-coding RNA. RefSeq lists it as uncharacterized. The record is from RefSeq and is a predicted model, not a curated record. Lineage: Eukaryota; Metazoa; Chordata; Amphibia; Anura; Bombinatoridae. The transcript has 2 exons.
AUGAGAGGGCUUACCCAGAGACACACUACAAGAAACACUAUUCAAACCCUACACCUCAUGCCUCUAGUAAAACAACAUCAGAGCCUAUGGAUAUUGGUUUCCUGAAGGGGCCCCUAUCUACUCAAGAGAAAAACAGAAGACGUGAGAACAACCUAUGUUUAUAUUGUGCCUCAGACGAGCAUACAGUGAGAGAGUGUCCUUCUUUGCAGAAACAACGAAAGGUGGGAUCUCCUACGAGUCAACGUUCCAGCCAUUAUUGACUCUGGUGCUACAGCAUGUUAUAUAGAUAAGGAAUUCACUUAUAAAAAUAAAAUACCACUGGUGCAGAAAAA